RNAcentral lists this ribosomal RNA (404 nucleotides) under uncultured bacterium. RNAcentral describes it as "bacterial SSU rRNA". It matches the Rfam family "Bacterial small subunit ribosomal RNA", at positions 355 to 775 of the family's 1533-position model. The record is from RNAcentral.
UGAGGAAUAUUGCACAAUGGGCGCAAGCCUAAUGCAGCAACGCCGCGUGCGGGACGAAGGCCUUCGGGUCGUAAUCCGCUUUUCUGGGGAAAGAGCAAGGACGGUACCUCAGGAAUAAGUCUCGGCUAACUACGUGCCAGCAGCCGCGGUAAAACGUAGGAGGCGAGCGUUAUCCGGAUUUACUGGGCGUAAAGCGCACGCAGGCGGCUCCGUGAGUCGGACGUGAAAGCUCUCGGCUUAACCGGGAGAGGCCGUUCGAUACUGCGGGGCUUGAGGUAGGGAGAGGAAUGCGGAAUUCCCGGUGUAGUGGUGGAAUGCGUAGAUAUCGGGAGGAACACCUGUGGCGAAAGCGGCAUUCUGGCCCUCACCUGACGCUGAGGUGCGAAAGCGUGGGUAGCAAACAG